AGUAGUAUAAUUACAUGAUUAACUUGUUCUAUGACAUGAUUUGUAUCUAGGACCACACCUGCUCCAAUAGGUUGUUUGUUUAUUCUUUGAUUCAAUUCAUUCUUUUAGUCUCUUUUUAUUCCUUAGCCCAUAUGCCAUGCCUAGAUUGUGAUGGAUCACUAUUCUACAUAUAAAUGUUUAUCACCUGCUAUGACCUUUGAUUCCAUUAUUGCUAUCAUAAUUACUUUGAUCUAUGCUUAUCUUAGAAUCCUUAACAUAUUAAGUCUUCCUUAGAGCGAACCUAUAAAUAUGACACUCGGUAAAUCCCCGG
Molecule: long non-coding RNA, 310 nt
Filed under: Sorghum bicolor (sorghum)
Lineage: Eukaryota; Viridiplantae; Streptophyta; Magnoliopsida; Poales; Poaceae
Description: long non-coding RNA (SBIC_LNC003203)
Source: RNAcentral